Non-coding RNA from Podarcis lilfordi (Lilford's wall lizard), 129 nucleotides. The record is from the annotation of a GenBank genome assembly. NCBI's taxonomy places the organism in Eukaryota, Metazoa, Chordata, Lepidosauria, Squamata, Lacertidae.
UGCUUUCCCAAGGAAAACCUGCUGUUUACUGCUGAAUUGGAACAAAUGUCAAUCUGCAAAAAACCAAACAAACACUGAUUUACAUUUGUUCUAAUUCAGCAGUAAACAGCAGGUUUUCCCAGGGAAGCG